GCCGGGCGCGGUGGCGCGCGCCUGUAGUCCCAGCUACUCGGGAGGCUGAGGCUGGAGGAUCGCUUGAGCUCAGGAGUUCUGGGCUGCAGUGCGCUAUGCCGAUCGGGUGUCCGCACUAAGUUCGGCAUCAAUAUGGUGACCUCCCGGGAGCGGGGGACCACC
RNAcentral lists this small RNA (162 nucleotides) under Cervus elaphus hippelaphus. It matches the Rfam family "Metazoan signal recognition particle RNA", at positions 1 to 161 of the family's 299-position model. Rfam says of the family: The signal recognition particle (SRP) is a universally conserved ribonucleoprotein. It is involved in the co-translational targeting of proteins to membranes. The record is from RNAcentral. Lineage: Eukaryota; Metazoa; Chordata; Mammalia; Artiodactyla; Cervidae.